CGGGGAAUUUUGGACAAUAGGCGCAAGCCUGAUCCAGCAAUGCCGCGUGCAGGAUGAAGGCCUUCGGGUUGUAAACUGCUUUUGUACGGAACGAAAAAGCUCUCUCUAAUACAGGGGGUGAAUGACGGUACCGUAAGAAUAAGCACCGGCUAACUACGUGCCAGCAGCCGCGGUAAUACGUAGGGUGCAAGCGUUAAUCGGAAUUACUGGGCGUAAAGCGUGCGCAGGCGGUUUUGUAAGACAGAGGUGAAAUCCCCGGGCUCAACCUGGGAACUGCCUUUGUGACUGCAAAGCUGGAGUGCGGCAGAGGGGGAUGGAAUUCCGCGUGUAGCAGUGAAAUGCGUAGAUAUGCGGAGGAACACCGAUGGCGAAGGCAAUCCCCUGGGCCUGCACUGACGCUCAUGCACGAAAGCGUGGGGAGCAAACA
RNAcentral lists this ribosomal RNA (427 nucleotides) under uncultured bacterium. RNAcentral's name for it is "bacterial SSU rRNA". It matches the Rfam family "Bacterial small subunit ribosomal RNA", at positions 355 to 774 of the family's 1533-position model. The record is from RNAcentral.